Molecule: ribosomal RNA, 460 nt
Filed under: uncultured bacterium
Lineage: Bacteria
Description: partial 16S ribosomal RNA
Rfam family: Bacterial small subunit ribosomal RNA
Source: RNAcentral
CCUACGUGAGGCUGCAGUGAGGAAUAUUGGUCAAUGGGCGCGAGCCUGAACCAGCCAAGUAGCGUGAAGGAUGACUGCCCUACGGGUUGUAAACUUCUUUUAUAAAGGAAUAAAGUGAGGCACGUGUGCCUUUUUGUAUGUACUUUAUGAAUAAGGCUCGGCUAACUCCGUGCCAGCAGCCGCGGUAAUACGGAGGAUGCGAGCGUUAUCCGGAUUUAUUGGGUUUAAAGGGAGCGUAGAUGGGUUGUUAAGUCAGUUGUGAAAGUUUGCGGCUCAACCGUAAAAUUGCAAUUGAUACUGGCAGUCUUGAGUACAGUUGAGGUAGGCGGAAUUCGUGGUGUAGCGGUGAAAUGCUUAGAUAUCACGAAGAACUCCGAUUGCGAAGGCAGCUUACUAAACUGCCACUGACAUUGAUGCUCGAAAGUGUGGGUAUCAAACAGGAUUAGAUACCCCUGUAGUC